Molecule: long non-coding RNA, 315 nt
Organism: Tachyglossus aculeatus (Australian echidna)
Lineage: Eukaryota; Metazoa; Chordata; Mammalia; Monotremata; Tachyglossidae
Exons: 3
Source: RefSeq, a predicted model, not a curated record
GAACUGAGAGUGCUGAUGAACUACCUCAUUGUCUGUCUUCAAAGGCUGUGCCCAUAACGGCCUUUGAAGUAUCCCAGGGCUUGGGAAUCUUACCCCCAACCUCCACCCUAGGUCACUGAGAUCCAUGACUAAGCUGCCCCAUGACUGGUUUUGGGGGUGACCUGGAGAAGGCGGCAUCUGCAUCACCGGACUCAGUUUGGACCUGGUUCCUGCAGUCAUCUUAGGCAUUUCGAAUCUCGGGAUCAGGUCUCUAGUGUGCUGGUGUAGAGAGUUAUGUAUGAAUGAAGCCUGGAAAAACUGAGACUCCAUUUGCCA